This 253-nucleotide ribosomal RNA is filed under the name uncultured bacterium. RNAcentral describes it as "partial 16S ribosomal RNA". It matches the Rfam family "Bacterial small subunit ribosomal RNA", at positions 524 to 776 of the family's 1533-position model. The record is from RNAcentral.
UACGGAGGGUGCGAGCGUUGUCCGGAAUCACUGGGCGUAAAGGGCGCGUAGGCGGCCUGAUAAGUAGGGGGUGAAAUCUUGCGGCUUAACCGCAAGGCUGCCUUCUAAACUGUCGGGCUAGAGCACAGUAGAGGCAGGUGGAAUUCCACGUGUAGCAGUGAAAUGCGUAGAGAUGUGGAGGAAUACCGAUGGCGAAGGCAGCCUCCUGGGCCAACACUGACGCUCAUGCACGAAAGCGUGGGGAGCAAACAGG